UAGUAUAAUAGUUGUAAGCAAGGAAUGCAAUUAGUUUUACUCCCUUUUUGCUAAUUGUAAAAUUCCUUAAAAUCCUAAACUCCCUUUUUGUGGCCGGCGUAAUUGCCGGUC
This 111-nucleotide small RNA is filed under the name Listeria ivanovii. RNAcentral describes it as "Listeria sRNA rli22". It matches the Rfam family "Listeria sRNA rli22". Rfam says of the family: The UCCC motifs prevent ribosomal binding to oppA mRNA. The record is from RNAcentral. Lineage: Bacteria; Bacillati; Bacillota; Bacilli; Caryophanales; Listeriaceae.